Molecule: RNA transcript, 2199 nt
Organism: Theobroma umbraticum
Lineage: Eukaryota; Viridiplantae; Streptophyta; Magnoliopsida; Malvales; Malvaceae
Gene name: clathrin adaptor complexes medium subunit family protein
Source: RefSeq, a predicted model, not a curated record
UUGGCUCUUUUUCUCGGCAACUUCACUUUCCCGUCUUCAACUCUCUCUCUCUCUCUCUCAAAAAAAAAAAGGUAAAAGAACAAAGCCAUGCCUAACGAUUGCAGUAUCAGAGCUCUGUGGAUCCUCAACAGUUUCGACGCCGUCGUUUUCUCCAGGAGGUUUCCGGUGGUGGAGAAGCGGUGGCGAGCUGCUUUCCAGAGUGAAAAAGAGAGCUCCGUCGAUAGUCCUGUUAAGCACACUAUAUUUUCUUCGCUUCCCUCCGAUUCAGAGUUAGCUGCAGCUUUCUUUGAGAGAAAGGGAAGGGAGGGGUCUGUCCGUGGAUUUGGUAUACGCGUAACGCAGUCAGGAGAAGGAUCUGAUUCAUGGGUUGAUGAUCCAAUUACGCGUCAUAUUAUAGGCGUUUACAUAAACAAAGGGGAGGAAAGAGAGAAUAAUCUAUUGUGGCCCUUAGCAUUGCACAUAAAGGGUCCUUAUUGCAUCCUCAUACUGCCUUUAGUUGAGCCCAGGCAUGUAAAGGCUUAUGCAAAGUUGUGUCAAAGAUCUGAUUGUGGAAAUGCUGUCAUGACCGACGAACAUUUAUCUUCUCUGCUCCUUGAUCUUCCAUCCAUCACAGGGGCAUUCAUGGUGGCCCAUGCCAUUGGUGACAUAGUUACUGGGGAUGUAGUAGAACCUGAGGUGGUUGUAAGUGCAUCACCAUCAGUAGGUGGGUUGUUAGAUUCACUAACUGGAAGUAUUGGGAUAUCAGGUAUCUCUUCAAGGGCAAAACCAGUAGCUGCACCUGUUGCAUCUUCUACACCCUCUGGCGUUGCUGCGAUAGGAGCUCUUGCAUCUGAUGUUCCAAAAAUUGGUUCAAGGCUUUUGGAUAAAGAUGCACUUAGAAGUUUCAUAAGUAGCGCAAUGCCUUUUGGAACACCCAUGGACCUCAGCUAUUCCAAUAUUUUUUCUAUCAAGGUUAAUGGCUUUUCUUCAUUAGAUAUUCCUCCCCAGGACCUCAAGCAACCGGCAUGGAAGCCUUAUCUGUACAAAGGAAAGCAGAGACUGCUAUUCACCAUUCAUGAAACCCUUCAUGCUGCCAUGUAUGAUCGAGAUGAGAUUCCUGAUAGAUUAUCAGUCUCUGGGCAGAUAAACUGUCGAGCAGAAUUGGAAGGACUGCCUGAUGUGUCAUUCCCCUUGACAGGGUUGACCGCAGCCAAGAUUGAGGCUUUAUCAUUCCAUCCCUGUGCUCAGGUUCCAGAACAAAAUGUGGAUAAGCAGGCUCUGAUGUUCUCACCGCCUUUGGGUAAUUUUGUUUUGAUGCGUUAUCAGGCAGCAUGUGGCCUUGGACCUCCUGUAAAGGGAUUCUAUCAAUUGUCUAUGGUCUCUGAGGAUGAAGGUGCAUUUUUGUUCAAAUUGCGUCUAAUGGAAAGUUAUAAGUCCCCUUUGACAAUGGAGUUCUGUAAUGUGACUAUGCCUUUUCCUAGAAGAAGGAUUUUAUCUUUCGAUGGGACUCCAUCGAUUGGAACAGUUUCAAAUGCUGAGCAUUCUGUCGAAUGGAAAAUUAUAACAAGUGGUCGAGGACUUUCUGGGAAAAGUAUUGAGGCAACUUUCCCUGGAACAGUUAGGUUUGCACCAUGGCAGACACAAAGAUUAAGUUCCUUUAGGUCAGUCUUUGAAGGCACAGCGGAUGAUGAUAGUGAUAAUGAGACAGAGGGUACUAACAAUAUGGUAAAUGUAGAGGAGUUCUUGAUGGAGAAAAUGAGUAAGGAUCUUCCUCCAGUUGAUCUAGAGGAGCCAUUUAGCUGGCAGGCGUACAAUUAUGCGAAAGUAUCUUUCAAGAUCUUUGGGGUAUCAUUAUCUGGAAUGUCGAUUGAUCCCAAAUCAGUAAGCAUCUAUCCUGCAGUAAAAGCACCUGUGGAAUUAUCGACUCAGAUUACUUCCGGGGACUAUAUCUUGUGGAAUACGUUGGGGAAGUGCCCAUCUGCUGUAUCUGCAAAAGUGUAACGAAAAGCAUACAAUACAGCUCACCAACAGAGACGGACUUUUAAAACAGGGGCAGGCAAUGCAAGCGGCUACCCCAACUGAAAAUGCUACAACUUUUGUUUUGUUGUAUUAUUCUUCUAAAAAAUGCCUUGAUGAACGGUAAAGAUCGUACGGAGCCCAUAAAUGAUCAACCACGCAUGGCUUCCUGGAAUCUAGCCUAAGCCAAGGUUUGCCUUUCCC